AUUAACGGUGUCUUCCUCCUAUUCCCACUUUUUAAAAAUACUAUUCCUUCUAUUCCCACUUGCAAAUAACAAUAGAUGUUUUGAUAAAUAAUUUGUUUUUAUAACAAUCAGGGUUAAUUAGAAUUUCACCUAAGAUUUACCUGUAUUUUUUUUAAAGCAUAACAUAUUUGGUACACUGUUUAGGUAUAAUACCUGGUUUAUUUGUAAUAUGUUUCUUUUUUCAUCAAAUAAAU
Molecule: long non-coding RNA, 233 nt
Filed under: Mytilus galloprovincialis (Mediterranean mussel)
Lineage: Eukaryota; Metazoa; Mollusca; Bivalvia; Mytilida; Mytilidae
Source: RNAcentral